GACGAACGCUGGCGGCGUGCUUAAUACAUGCAAGUCGAGCGGACCGAGCGGCGCGUUGCUGGUUUCCAGCGACAAGCUGCAAAGGUUAGCGGCGAACGGGUGAGUAACACGUGGGUAAUCUGCCCCCAAGACCGGGAUAACAGAGCGAAAGCGCUGCUAAUACCGGAUGACCUCUCUUUAUCGCAUGGUGGAGGGAGCAAAGCGUAAGCGCUUGGGGAUGAGCCCGCGUUCCAUUAGCUAGUUGGUGAGGUAACGGCUCACCAAGGCGACGAUGGAUAGCCGGCCUGAGAGGGUGACCGGCCACACUGGGACUGAGACACGGCCCAGACUCCUACGGGAGGCAGCAGUAGGGAAUUUUCGGCAAUGGGGGAAACCCUGACCGAGCAACGCCGCGUGAGGGAUGAAGGCCUUCGGGUCGUAAACCUCUGUCUUUGGGGACGAUAAUGACGGUACCCGAGGAGGAAGCCCCGGCUAACUACGUGCCAGCACCCGCGGUAAUACGUANGGGGCGACCGUUGUCCGGAAUUACUGGCGUAAAGGGCGUGUANGCGGCCUGUUAAGUCANGCGUGAAACCCCGGCUUAACUGGGGAC
This 592-nucleotide ribosomal RNA is filed under the name uncultured bacterium. Its description in RNAcentral is "bacterial SSU rRNA". It matches the Rfam family "Bacterial small subunit ribosomal RNA", at positions 28 to 621 of the family's 1533-position model. The record is from RNAcentral.